RNAcentral lists this small RNA (969 nucleotides) under Homo sapiens (human). RNAcentral describes it as "PPP1R3B divergent transcript (ENSG00000285236.3)". The record is from RNAcentral. Lineage: Eukaryota; Metazoa; Chordata; Mammalia; Primates; Hominidae.
GGUGAGCCUGUAAAGUUUUAGGAUCAAGGUUAAAGGCCCUUUUUUGCUCUCUUCUCUCUUGGACCUUCAGGCGACGGCUUGGGUAUCUUCCAAGCGAAUUUUCCUUUCUUUCCUGUUCUUUUUUUUUUUUGAGACGGAGUCUUGCUCUGUCGCCCAGGCUGGAGUGCAGUGGCGUGAUGUCGGCUCACUGCAAGCUCCGCCUCCCGGGUUCACGCCAUUCUCCUGCUUCAGCCUCCUGAGUAGCUGGGGCUACAGGCGCCCGCCACCACGCCCGGCUAAUUUUUUUGUAUUUUUUUUUUUAGUAGAGACGGGGUUCCACCGUGUUAGCCAGGAUGGUCUCGAUCUCCUGACCUCGUCAUCCUCCCGCCUUGGCCUCCCAAAGUGCUGGGAUUACAGGCUUGAGCCACCGCGCCCCGCUCUUUCGUGUUCCAAAGGCUUUUUAAAUAAACUUCCACUCCUGUCCUGGAUUCUGCUUUAUGGCCCUCAGUCGAAUUCUUUCUUCUGAGGAGGCAAGGACUGAAGUUGCUUCUGACCAGUACAGGAGAAAACGAAUACAGCAGGGAUGACUUCCACCAGCUCCACUUUGCAGCUCUGAGGUGUAUUAAAAAUGACCUGGAAGAAGUCAUGCCACGGGCCAGACCUUAACAUUCCUUUCGGCUUACCCCAGGAUUUCAGACGAAGCUUCACUUUCCUAACCAGUCACAAAUCAGAGAAUUUUUGAUUCCACCUAUGACCUGUGAGCUCCUGCUUCAAGAUAUUCCACCUUUUUUAGGCCAAACCAAUGUAUAACCUCCAAGUGUCGAUUUACACUUUCGACUGUAACUUCUGCUUUCCUGAGAUUUACCCCUGCCUUUAAAAACCCUUGCUUGUAAUCCCUCAGGGAGGCCGUGUAUUUAUUAAUCAUGAGCUGCCCAAUUCUCCUUGCUUGGUGCCCUGCAAAUAAACACCCUCUUUUCUCCCACUGCAAAA